This 463-nucleotide ribosomal RNA is filed under the name Vreelandella stevensii. Its description in RNAcentral is "partial 16S ribosomal RNA". It matches the Rfam family "Bacterial small subunit ribosomal RNA", at positions 338 to 794 of the family's 1533-position model. The record is from RNAcentral. Lineage: Bacteria; Pseudomonadati; Pseudomonadota; Gammaproteobacteria; Oceanospirillales; Halomonadaceae.
CCUACGGGAGGCAGCAGUGGGGAAUAUUGGACAAUGGGCGAAAGCCUGAUCCAGCCAUGCCGCGUGUGUGAAGAAGGCCUUCGGGUUGUAAAGCACUUUCAGUGGGGAAGAAAGCCUUGGGGCUAAUACCCUCGAGGAAGGACAUCACCCACAGAAGAAGCACCGGCUAACUCCGUGCCAGCAGCCGCGGUAAUACGGAGGGUGCGAGCGUUAAUCGGAAUUACUGGGCGUAAAGCGCGCGUAGGCGGUCUGAUAAGCCGGUUGUGAAAGCCCCGGGCUCAACCUGGGAACGGCAUCCGGAACUGUCAGGCUAGAGUGCAGGAGAGGAAGGUAGAAUUCCCGGUGUAGCGGUGAAAUGCGUAGAGAUCGGGAGGAAUACCAGUGGCGAAGGCGGCCUUCUGGACUGACACUGACGCUGAGGUGCGAAAGCGUGGGUAGCAAACAGGAUUAGAUACCCCAUAGU